Maylandia zebra (zebra mbuna) is the source of this 421-nucleotide non-coding RNA. NCBI's taxonomy places the organism in Eukaryota, Metazoa, Chordata, Actinopteri, Cichliformes, Cichlidae. The record is from RefSeq and is a predicted model, not a curated record.
UUGACGUUUUACUUCCUCUUUCUUUGCGGCGUGAAAUCAAUAAACUGCAGCAGCGAAGCUCAAGUAGGAAGAGAGGAGAAUCCGCGAGAAAAGCGACUUCACGAAGGAAAACGUCUGUCGCAUGUUUUAUGUAGAAAGUCAAAAAAGUAAGAAGAACGAAAAUAGUCGGUCGAAGAGCUCAUGUGAUGUGAAGUGAGACAAUCGGGGGCUGCUGCUGCUCACAAGACUGCUGCAUGUGAUAUCGAUUACAGAAAUAAGACACAGGGAUGACCACAGCCCUGCUUCGGGCCCACAUGGACGGCUAGAAAUUCAGGCUUGAAUGCAGAGAGUCCUCUUGCCAGAAGACCAAACAUGGUGCACGUCUACAACUGCCAUCCUUUCUCCUCUCAGCAGAUUGUGCAGGUGGAGAAGGAACCGGACU